Molecule: unclassified non-coding RNA, 230 nt
Filed under: Hevea brasiliensis (rubber tree)
Lineage: Eukaryota; Viridiplantae; Streptophyta; Magnoliopsida; Malpighiales; Euphorbiaceae
Source: RNAcentral
UAUUGUCGGCCUAAUAACAGCCACGCGUUUUAUUAAAGGUGGAGGCUACAAGAACGUUCUAGUAAUUGGUGCAGAUGCUCUAUCACGGUUUGCGGAUUGGACAGAUAGAGGCACUUGUAUUCUCUUUGGUGACGCUGCUGGUGCUGUACUAGUCCAGGCUUGCAGUAGCGAUGAAGAUGCUUUGCUCGGGUUCGACUUGAACAGUGAUGGAUACGGCCAGAAGCACCUAA